Long non-coding RNA from Mercenaria mercenaria, 381 nucleotides. RefSeq lists it as uncharacterized. Lineage: Eukaryota; Metazoa; Mollusca; Bivalvia; Venerida; Veneridae. The transcript has 3 exons. The record is from RefSeq and is a predicted model, not a curated record.
GAUCAACGGCAAGAAUGAGGUUUUCUGUAUUCGUGUUGUGUAUACUUCCGAUCGUGCUCUCGGCGCCAGAGAAAAGAUUUCUUGAAUCAGUCUUCGGUGGAAAUGCGUUUGACUUGACUACAUUGAAAUGCGACAUACAGAUCAUGUUGGAUGUAAUAGGGAGCGAUCCGACAGAACUUGCAUGCGAAUCUUAGUGCCAUAACCUUCUGCAACAGGGACACGUUCUUAAUUAUGGUUGCCCACUUGUCUGUCAUGGAUUCCAAACGCUGGCACAUACGUUUCAUCUUGCGCCUCAAACUACUGAUCCGUCUGUUAAUCCCUGUAAAAACAUUGGACCAAAACAAUAAAUUGUACGUCGAAUAAAAAAUUUGCUAAGACAAG